UACGAAGGGGGCUAGCGUUGUUCGGAAUCACUGGGCGUAAAGGGCGCGUAGGCGGCUUUAUAAGUCGGGGGUGAAAGCCUGUGGCUCAACCACAGAAUUGCCUUCGAUACUGUAGAGCUUGAGACCGGAAGAGGUAAGUGGAACUGCGAGUGUAGAGGUGAAAUUCGUAGAUAUUCGCAAGAACACCAGUGGCGAAGGCGGCUUACUGGUCCGGUUCUGACGCUGAGGAGCGAAAGCAUGGGUAGCGAACAGG
RNAcentral lists this ribosomal RNA (253 nucleotides) under uncultured bacterium. Its description in RNAcentral is "partial 16S ribosomal RNA". It matches the Rfam family "Bacterial small subunit ribosomal RNA", at positions 524 to 776 of the family's 1533-position model. The record is from RNAcentral.